CAGUCGCCGCGGUAAUACGUAGGUGGCAAGCGUUGCCCGGAAUUAUUGGGCGUAAAGGGCUCGCAGGCGGUUUCUUAAGUCUGAUGUGAAAGCCCCCGGCUCAACCGGGGAGGGUCAUUGGAAACUGGGAAACUUGGGUGCAGAAGAGGAGAGUGGAAUUCCACGUGUAGCGGUGAAAUGCGUAGAGAUGUGGAGGAACACCAGUGGCGAAGGCGACUCUCUGGUCUAUAACUGACGCUGAGGAGCGAAAGCGUGGGGAGCGAACAGGAUUAGAUACCCCUGUAGUCCCUGUCUCUUAUAA
Molecule: ribosomal RNA, 301 nt
Filed under: uncultured bacterium
Lineage: Bacteria
Description: partial 16S ribosomal RNA
Rfam family: Bacterial small subunit ribosomal RNA
Source: RNAcentral